Molecule: ribosomal RNA, 479 nt
Filed under: uncultured bacterium
Lineage: Bacteria
Description: partial 16S ribosomal RNA
Rfam family: Bacterial small subunit ribosomal RNA
Source: RNAcentral
GACGAACGCUGGCGGCGUGCUUAACACAUGCAAGUCGAGCGAUGAAGCACCUUCGGGUGUGAAUUAGCGGCGAACGGGUGAGGAACACGUGAGAAAUCUGCCUUCAACUCUGGGAUAACUCCGGGAAACAGGGGCUAAUACCGGAUAUGAGCCUUGAUCGCAUGAUCGGGGCUGGAAAGUUUUUCGGUUGAAGAUGAUCUCGCGGCCUAUCAGCUUGUUGGUGAGGUAAUGGCUCCCCAAGGCGACGACGGGUAGCCGGCCUGAGAGGGCGACCGGCAACACUGGGACUGAUACACGGCGCAGACGCCUACGGGAGGCAGCAGUGGGGAAGAUUGGGCAAUGGAGGAAGCUCGGACGAAGCGAGGGCGCGUGAGGGAGGAAGGCCUUCGGGUUGUAAAACUGUUUCAGUAGGGAAGAAGCGAAAGUGGCGGUACCUACAGAAGAAGCACCGGCUAACUAUGUGCCAGCCGCCGCCGUAA